RNAcentral lists this unclassified non-coding RNA (298 nucleotides) under fungal sp. RNAcentral describes it as "partial internal transcribed spacer region". The stretch from base 1 to 46 matches the Rfam family "Eukaryotic small subunit ribosomal RNA", at positions 1786 to 1831 of the family's 1831-position model. Lineage: Eukaryota; Fungi. The record is from RNAcentral.
AAGUCGUAACAAGGUUUCCGUAGGUGAACCUGCGGAAGGAUCAUUAACAUCUUUUGGAAUGUGGUGGUGUGGUGUUUCGGCACUCAUCAUCCUCAACCCCAUUGUGUGCAUGUAUGUGUUGUGUCGUGAGUUGGUAAAGCUUCGGCUUAGCCUUCACCUCACUUCACCUUUCACUUUUAACCCCAAACCCCUUCUUCUCAUCACACUAGACUGACUUUCAAUCCUCGUUUUCGCUCCCUACCAACGGAGCAAAACAUCAAUCAGCAUACAACUCUUAGCAACGGAUAUCUAGGCUCUC